GAACGGUAGCACAGAGAGCUUGCUCUUGGGUGACGAGUGGCGGACGGGUGAGUAAUGUCUGGGAAACUGCCCGAUGGAGGGGGAUAACUACUGGAAACGGUAGCUGAUACCGCAUAACGUCUUCGGACCAAAGUGGGGGACCUUCGGGCCUCACACCAUCGGAUGUGCCCAGAUGGGAUUAGCUAGUAGGUGGGGUAACGGCUCACCUAGGCGACGAUCCCUAGCUGGUCUGAGAGGAUGACCAGCCACACUGGAACUGAGACACGGUCCAGACUCCUACGGGAGGCAGCAGUGGGGAAUAUUGCACAAUGGGCGCAAGCCUGAUGCAGCCAUGCCGCGUGUAUGAAGAAGGCCUUCGGGUUGUAAAGUACUUUCAGUGGGGAGGAAGGCGAUGGAGUUAAUAGCUUCGUCGAUUGACGUUACCCGCAGAAGAAGCACCGGCUAACUCCGUG
RNAcentral lists this ribosomal RNA (452 nucleotides) under uncultured bacterium. RNAcentral describes it as "bacterial SSU rRNA". It matches the Rfam family "Bacterial small subunit ribosomal RNA", at positions 64 to 507 of the family's 1533-position model. The record is from RNAcentral.